Molecule: RNA transcript, 2260 nt
Organism: Pyrgilauda ruficollis (rufous-necked snowfinch)
Lineage: Eukaryota; Metazoa; Chordata; Aves; Passeriformes; Passeridae
Gene name: RNA-binding protein 4B-like
Exons: 4
Source: RefSeq, a predicted model, not a curated record
AGGGACACACAGAGGUUUGGGGUGUUUCAGGAGAUUUGGGGGCACAACCCUGGGCACACACACAGAGAUUCAGGGUGUUUAUUUGGUGUUUUGGGGGGCACAGCCCCAGAGGAUUGAGGCGUUUCAGGAGGAUUUAGGGUGUUUGUGGGCACAGCCCUGGGCAUACACACAGAGGCUCGGGCUGUUUUUUGGGAGACUUUUGGUGGGCACAGCCCUGGGCCCACAAAGAGAGGUUCAGGGUGAUUUAGGGGAUUUUUGGGCAUAGCCUCGGGCACACGCACAGAGGCUUGUGCUGUUUCUUGGGGGGUUUUUGGGGAGCACAGCCCUGGGCACAUACACAGAUGCUCAGGCUGUUUUUUGGGGGCACAGUUCUGGGUACAAAUAGAGAGGUUCAGGGUGAUUCAGGGAAUUCAAACUUACAGAGGCUCAGGCUGUUCCUUGGGGCGCUUUGGGGCUGUGUGUGAGCUGUUCUUCGGGCUGUUCCUCGGGGUGUUUUGGAGCUCUGUGUGGGCUGUUCCUGGGGCUGUUCCUCGGGGUGUUUUGGAGCUCUGUGUGGGCUGUUCCUGGGGCUGUUCCUCGGGGGGUUUCGGGGCUGGUUGGGGCUCAUGGCGGCGCUGUCCGGCGCAGGCGGGUCGCGAUGGUGAAGCUGUUCAUCGGGAACCUGCCGCGGGAGGCGACGGAGCAGGAGAUCCGCUCCCUGUUCGAGCAGUACGGCAAGGUGCUGGAGUGCGACAUCAUCAAGAACUACGGCUUCGUGCACAUCGAGGACAAGACGGCGGCCGAGGACGCCAUCCGCAACCUGCACCACCACAAGCUGCACGGCGUCUGCAUCAACGUGGAGGCCAGCAAGAACAAGAGCAAGGCCUCCACCAAGCUGCACGUCGGCAACAUCAGCCCAGCCUGCACCAACCUCGAGCUGCGCGCCAAGUUCGAGGAGUACGGCCCCGUCAUAGAAUGUGACAUCGUCAAGGACUACGCCUUCGUGCACAUGGAGCGGGCCGAGGACGCCGUGGAGGCCAUCCGGGGGCUGGACAACACCGAGUUCCAAGGCAAGCGGAUGCGCGUGCAGCUGUCCACCAGCCGGCUGCGGACGGCGCCCGGGAUGGGAGACAAGAGCGGCUGCUACCGCUGCGGGAAGGAGGGGCACUGGUCUAAGGAGUGCCCGGUCGAUCGCCCGGGGCAAGUGGCGGACUUUGCCGAGGCCUAUAACGAGCAGUACGGAGCCGUGCGCACUCCCUACACCGCGGGCUAUGGGGAGACCGUGUAUUACGAUGAGGCCUACGGCGGGAUGGCCGACUACUACAAGCGCUACCGCGUCCGCUCCUACGCCACGGCCUCGGCGUACGACGCCUACGCGGAGCAGACCAUGGCCCAGUACUCCCAGUACGCCCAGUACUCCCAAGUCCAGUCCUCGGCCAUGGCCGCCACCACGGCCAUGGCCGGCCGCAUCCCCACCACCUUAGACGCGUACGACCGAGCGCUGCUGCCCACCCCGGGCGCGGCGGCCGCCGUCGCUGCCGCCGCCGCCACCGCCGCGGCCGCCGCCGCGUCCUCCACGUAUUACACCCGGGACAGGAGCCCCCUGCGCCGCACGGCCGCCGCGGCCAGCACCGUCGGAGAGGCGUACACGUACGAGCGUGGGCAGCUGUCGCCCGUCUCCUCGGUGGCCCGGGCGUCCCUCUACGACAUGCAGCGCUUCGGGCGGGACCCGUACGCGGACCGGGCGCGAUACUCCGCCUUUUGAGCCGGAGGUAAGAUUUGUGCGGCUGGACGUCGGGGUCCCGUCGCACGCCAACUCGGCGCCGCGCGUCUCGGGCCGCGCCGGGUGCCACCGCCGCCGCGUGCCGCUCCCGGGCCCGUUCCUUACGGACGCGCGGCUCGUCCUCAGCCCGGGCAGGAUUAGCUCAGCCCCUCCCCCAGCUUCCCCCGCCCCCCUGGGCAGGAUUUUGCUUUUCCAGGUAGUUUUGGGUCCCCACCCCAGGCUCAGGUGUGAGCGCGCAGCCGCAGCCGUCCCCCAGCGCCAGCUUUGCUUUGCUUCGCCGCCCCCUCGCUCCCCCGGAGCUCUUCCCGAGUCGUCGUUUUGCCUUUUUUUUUUCCUUUAUUUUUUAAGAGGGUGGAUAAUCCAGUGGUAGGUUUUUAGCCCAACGCUGUAGCUGACCGGAGGCCGCCGCGCCGCGCCGGCGGGGGUGGAACCCCCCGAGUGAUUUAGAGUCCCCCGACCCCACUUUCCGGUAAAAUAAAACUCAAAAUUUUUAACAAA